Molecule: long non-coding RNA, 553 nt
Filed under: Linum usitatissimum (flax)
Lineage: Eukaryota; Viridiplantae; Streptophyta; Magnoliopsida; Malpighiales; Linaceae
Description: long non-coding RNA (LUSI_LNC004758)
Source: RNAcentral
CAGUUUUGAAAUUUCUGCAACUAUAUAAAGUCCCUGCGUUACUGUUAUUGAUACACGAAGUUGACUAAGUUUGCUCAACCAGCACAGAGGAACUUAUAAGCUUCAGAACACAGCAUGGACGAAGUCUGCACCAAAGUACUCGUGUUCCUCUUCAUCGUAGGUAACACAUUUCAUUCAUUGAUAAUUUUUGGCUUUGGAGGUUUGAACGAUGGAUAUCAAUGUAGGUUUGGCGAUGACUUCAACGGUGCCGAUCGGGACGGGAGCAUUGAGCAUCGUCUGCAAAAAGGAUACCGAUUGCCAGAACAUGUCAGUUAGAUUAUGGCUGCCAUGUCAAACGGGGCAACUUCUGUGUAAUUACAGACCCAGAAUCCAGUACCAGAAGUAUUGCCAGUGUAUCAAUUGGGGGGAUAGACAUAGACGACUGUUGUCGAAUUAUGAAUAGAUGCAAAAAAAACAACAACUAUCUUUUGAUCUUAUUGUUUUAGUGGAGAUGGUUAUGAACAUUGGAAGACUAAUAAGAUUUGAUUUUGUACGUGAUACGCGUACGUUUGGA